UACGGAGGGUGCGAGCGUUGUCCGGAAUCAUUGGGCGUAAAGGGCGCGUAGGUGGCCCGGUCAGUUCGUGGUGAAAGCGCGGGGCUCAACCCUGCGUCGGCCAUGAAUACUGCCGCGGCUGGAGCACUGUAGAGGCAGGCGGAAUUCCGGGUGUAGCGGUGGAAUGCGUAGAGAUCCGGAAGAACACCGGCGGCGAAGGCGGCCUGCUGGGCAGUUGCUGACACUGAGGCGCGACAGCGUGGGGAGCAAACAGG
Molecule: ribosomal RNA, 254 nt
Filed under: uncultured bacterium
Lineage: Bacteria
Description: partial 16S ribosomal RNA
Rfam family: Bacterial small subunit ribosomal RNA
Source: RNAcentral